Molecule: non-coding RNA, 3291 nt
Organism: Podarcis lilfordi (Lilford's wall lizard)
Lineage: Eukaryota; Metazoa; Chordata; Lepidosauria; Squamata; Lacertidae
Source: the annotation of a GenBank genome assembly
UGAAAGAGGAUAUGGGCCACUUGCUAGAAACCACCCGAGGCACAGCAAAUUUGCACACUGCCAAUCAUGUCCUCGAACAAUGUGUCCUGCAUAAGAAAAAAGAAAGGUUUCAUCAACAACCAGCUGACUAAUCAGGCUGAGCAGCAUUAUGAGGAUGCUGUAAUUCAGCUGGAAGGAAGGAAAGAAAAAGAUGCUCUCAGAGGCUUGUGAUGGGAUCUGCAGACAGGCUUCGUUGCAAUGUCAUCAGCCCAGUUUUGCUUCCCGGAUGGCACAGAGAGGGCAAGAUUCAAAAUGAUGCACAUUCAUCCUAUUUUUAUUUAUAUACACUAAUUACAUGACACCGUAUAACAGAGAUGGGGUUUAAGAUUUUGCAGAGUAGGGGCUAGCACAGGGCAUAGCUGUCAACUUGCAGAUUUGAAAAUAAGGGACCCGCAGCCUCGAAAAUAAGGGAUCAGCAGCCAAAAUAAGGGAUUUUCCAAGCACAGGUAUGUUCAACAUCUGAGCCCCUCCAAGCCAAAGGCAGAAAGCCCAGCCAGCAGCCAAACGAAGCCUCAAGCGGUGGUUCCCACAGCGCAGCAACCCGGCAAAGGGAAUGCAGCAAGGAAAACCACCAUCACCUCUCCGCUGGGAAGCGCUGAGCAAAGGCGAGUCCCCAGGCAACACGGCCAAUUUGAUCGGCACAAGGCAUGCAAGCUCCAAUCCCCCAGUCAUUCUUAGACUCCUUAUUGGGUGAGCAACGCAGCCAAGCAACACAGUUGGAGCCUCCCUCCUCCCUGGCCAGCAGGGAGGGAGGGAGAGGAGCUGCUUCCUUUGAAACCUGGGAAAUUUAAGGGACAUCAUCAAUAAGUGACAGCAGCAGGACACAGUGCUGGGAUAAGGGACUUUCCUGCCAAAUAAGGGAUGGUUGACAGGUAUGGCACAGGGUUAACCAACCUGGCACCCUUUGGAUAUUGUAGACUUCUGACUCCCUUCAUUCCCCUCCCACACCUACAGUUUCCAGAGUUCCCUGUAAAGAGUGUUUGGUCAUUAAACCGCUCUAGGAAUUGUAGCUCUGGGAGUUCCUAAGAACUCUCAGUGCCCUCGACAAACUACAUUUCCCAUGAUUCUUUGGGAGAAGCCACAACUGUUUAAAGUGGUACGAUGCUAUUUAAGUGUAGGGUGGAUGGUGCCUUUAGUCUGAGUGCCCCCAGAGAUCCAGAGCCCAGUUGUAAAUGAAAGUUGCAACUUGUAGAGAAAAGGCAAUUGGAAAUUCCAUCAUCUCUCAGUCCAUCACAGCAAGUGCGUGAAAGAGAGCCUACCUGAAACCUUAACAAAACAGCAUCAAGUCAUUGGUGUUUUCUAAACAGAGAUGGCAUUGGUCUAAUAAUGUAACAGGAGCUGGUUUUAUAGGGUUGGUGUUGCCACACAUAAACCGCCAAGGAAAGCGGGAUCUGCAGGCAGACUUCUCCUGCAGAGCACAGUGAUCAGGUGUGAUACUGUAGCAUCAUAAAGGUAAAGGGUAAAGGGACCCCUGACCAUUAGGUCCAGUCGUGGCCGACUCUGGGGUUGCAACGCUCAUCUCACUUUACUGGCUGAGGAAGCUGGCAUACAGUUUCCGGGUCAUGUGGCCAGCAUGACUAAGCCUCUUCUGGCGAACCAGAGCAACACACGGAAACGCCGUUUACCUUCCCGCUGGAGCAGUACCUAUUUAUCUACUUGCACUUUGUGCUUUCGAACUGCUAGGUUGGCAGGAGCAGGGACCGAGCAACAGGAGCUCACCCCGUCGCAGGGAUUCGAACCGCCGACCUUCUGACCUUCUGAUCGGCAAGUCCUAGGCUCUGUGGUUUAACCCACAGCACCACCCGCGUCCCGUAGCAUCAUAGUAGCUUUAAAUAUUUUGUUGGGAGACGCCCAGAGUGGCUGGAGAAACCUAGCCAGAUGGGCGGGGUAUAAAUAAAUCAUCAUCAUUCCAUGGGACUGUCAGGGAAUGGUAGCUGCCAGCUCAGGAGAAAUGACAACACAAAAUGGGAGGUGGUGAAAAUUGUUUAAAAACUCCAGUAAAACAUAUAAGCCUAAAUCACCAUUUAUCCCAGUGACUUCUGGCCCACUGCAUUUGGUUUCCACAACUUUCUGUAUCUCAUUGUCUUUCAACUCCCACCUUGCAUCCAAGAAAAUGAGAUUGAGCCCCCGAAAGCUUAUGCUGUUCUAUUUCAUUUCAUUUCUCUUUUAAUUUGUACACCACCUUUCCAUAUUACUAUACACAAGGCAGUUUCGAGCAUCCAAAUAUACAGCAAAGAACACCAUAUAAUAAUUUGAUCCAAUGCAAAAAGUCAUAAUAUGACAUAACUUUAAAAUGGAACGACUUAUUUCAAAUAAGGUAAUAUUCAAUAAUCUGUUAGAAUAUAAUAGUGCAAAAUAAAACCAACUCUCAAAACAGCAGCAAAUAGUUAAACAGACAUUCAUUGCAUUUUUGUUAGACUUUGAGCUGCUGCGAAACUCUUUGUUGUAUUUUGUUGUAUUUUGUCAUGAGGCGGCAUUUUUUCCUUCCUUCCUUUGUGUACAUGAAUUAGAGCAUGGGUAGGCAAACUAAGGCCCAGGGGCCGGAUCCGGCCCAAUCGCCUUCUAAAUCCGGCCUGUGGACGAUCCAGGAAACAGCAUGUUUUUACAUUAGUAGAAUGUGUGCUUUUAUUUAAAAUGCAUCUCUGGGUUAUUUGUGGGGCAUACGAAUUCGUUCUUCUUUUCUUCAAAAUAUCGUCUGGCCCCCCACAAGGUCUGAGGGACAGUGGACCGGCCCCCUGCUGUAAAAGUUUGCUGACCCCUGAAUUAGAGAGUAAUUCAGCACAUGCAGGAAACAACUGAUUCAGCAGACUGUUAUGAAAGGUAAUUUGAAACUGAUGCCACCAACUCUGUUUCUUAUACUUCAGCUAUUAUUUACCAGAUUGCCAGGUCUGUUAUAUAUGGGACUGAACACUGGGUGGCAGGAGAAUCCCAUUGACAGCAUUUUCACACCAAUAGCUUACCCGGAGGACAGCUAUUAGAAAGUUUCACUUCUGAAAUUGUGGUCUGAAGCACUACUGCUGCCUUCUGUGUGCAUGGUUCAACAUCUAGAAAGACUGCAUUUGAACUCGCAUCUCACUGUUCUGUUCCAGCCCCCAUUGCCAGCCUUCCCCCCUGCCCAAAUGGAGUCACUUCAGGAAAGGAUGGGUCCAUGCAAAAUGGCAUCUCCACAUGAAGGCAGUUUAUGAACUUGCACUGUAGGCCAGAAGCCCAAAAAUGUCCCCACAUGUGCCAUAUAGAAAGUUCUAGCAAUCC